AAUUGGAGGGCAAGUCUGGUGCCAGCAGCCGCGGUAAUUCCAGCUCCAAUAGCGUAUAUUAAAGUUGUUGCAGUUAAAAAGCUCGUAGUUGAAUUUCGGGAUCAAUAUUUCGGUCAUGCCGUUGGUAUGCACUGUUAUCAUUGAUUUCUCACCUUCUAAAGAACCGUAAUGCCAUUAAUUUGGUGUUACGGGGAAUUAGGACUGUUACCUUGAAAAAAUUAGAGUGUUUAAAGCAGGCUCACGCUUGAAUACAUUAGCAUGGAAUAAUGAAAUAGGACAUCCGAUUCUAUUUUGUUGGCUUCUAGGAUCGAUGUAAUGAUUAAUAGGGAUAGUUGGGGGCAUUAGUAUUCAAUUGUCAGAGGUGAAAUUCUUGGAUUUAUUGAAGACUAACUACUGCGAAAGCAUUUGCCAAGGAUGUUUUCAUUAAUCAAGAACGAAAGUUAGGGGAUCGAAGACGAUCAGAUACCGUCGUAGUCUUAACCAUAAACUAUGCCGACUAGGGAUCGGAUGAUGUUAAUUUUUUAAUGACUCAUUCGGCGCCUUACGGGAAACCAAAGUGU
RNAcentral lists this ribosomal RNA (560 nucleotides) under uncultured Glomus. Its description in RNAcentral is "SSU rRNA". It matches the Rfam family "Eukaryotic small subunit ribosomal RNA", at positions 546 to 1106 of the family's 1831-position model. Lineage: Eukaryota; Fungi; Glomeromycota; Glomeromycetes; Glomerales; Glomeraceae. The record is from RNAcentral.